This 901-nucleotide ribosomal RNA is filed under the name Escherichia coli. RNAcentral describes it as "partial 23S ribosomal RNA". It matches the Rfam family "Bacterial large subunit ribosomal RNA", at positions 1 to 934 of the family's 2925-position model. The record is from RNAcentral. Lineage: Bacteria; Pseudomonadati; Pseudomonadota; Gammaproteobacteria; Enterobacterales; Enterobacteriaceae.
GGGUUGUGAGGUUAAGCGACUAAGCGUACACGGUGAAUGCCCUGGCAGUCAGAGGCGAUGAAGGACGUGCUAAUCUGCGAUAAGCGUCGGUAAGGUGAUAUGAACCGUUAUAACCGGCGAUUUCCGAAUGGGGAAACCCAGUGUGAUUCGUCACACUAUCAUUAACUGAAUCCAUAGGUUAAUGAGGCGAACCGGGGGAACUGAAACAUCUAAGUACCCCGAGGAAAAGAAAUCAACCGAGAUUCCCCCAGUAGCGGCGAGCGAACGGGGAGCAGCCCAGAGCCUGAAUCAGUGUGUGUGUUAGUGGAAGCGUCUGGAAAGGCGCGCGAUACAGGGUGACAGCCCCGUACACAAAAAUGCACAUGCUGUGAGCUCGAUGAGUAGGGCGGGACACGUGGUAUCCUGUCUGAAUAUGGGGGGACCAUCCUCCAAGGCUAAAUACUCCUGACUGACCGAUAGUGAACCAGUACCGUGAGGGAAAGGCGAAAAGAACCCCGGCGAGGGGAGUGAAAAAGAACCUGAAACCGUGUACGUACAAGCAGUGGGAGCACGCUUAGGCGUGUGACUGCGUACCUUUUGUAUAAUGGGUCAGCGACUUAUAUUCUGUAGCAAGGUUAACCGAAUAGGGGAGCCGAAGGGAAACCGAGUCUUAACUGGGCGUUAAGUUGCAGGGUAUAGACCCGAAACCCGGUGAUCUAGCCAUGGGCAGGUUGAAGGUUGGGUAACACUAACUGGAGGACCGAACCGACUAAUGUUGAAAAAUUAGCGGAUGACUUGUGGCUGGGGGUGAAAGGCCAAUCAAACCGGGAGAUAGCUGGUUCUCCCCGAAAGCUAUUUAGGUAGCGCCUCGUGAAUUCAUCUCCGGGGGUAGAGCACUGUUUCGGCAAGGGGGUCAUCCCGA